This 439-nucleotide ribosomal RNA is filed under the name uncultured archaeon. Its description in RNAcentral is "bacterial SSU rRNA". It matches the Rfam family "Archaeal small subunit ribosomal RNA", at positions 332 to 769 of the family's 1478-position model. The record is from RNAcentral.
GCAGCAGGCACGAAUCCUUUACACUGCAAGCCAGUUCGAUAAGGGGACCCCAAGUUCUUAGCCAUAGUGACUGCGCUUUUCUGGACUGUAGGGCGGUCCAGGAACCAAGGGCUGGGCAAGACCGGUGCCAGCCGCCGCGGUAAUACCGGCAGCCCAAGUGAUGACCGAUUUUAUUGGGCCUAAAGCGUCCGUAGCUGGCCGCACAAGUCCGUCUGGAAAUCCACUCGCUCAACGGGUGGCCGUCCGGCGGAACCUGUGUGUCUAGGGACCGGAAGGCCUGAAGGGUACUAUCGGGGUAGGAGUGAAAUCCUGUAAUCCCGCUAGGACCACCGAUGGCGAAAGCACUUCAGGAGAACGGAUCCGACAGUGAGGGACGAAAGCCAGGGUCUCGAACCGGAUUAGAUACCCGGGUAGUCCUGGCCGUAAACAAUGUCCUGUU